AGAAAAGUGAUGAGGUUAUAAUAUCUGAAUAUGGUGUGGAUUCCUUAUUUCAAAGGGUCUUAAAAGUUCUCUGAUUGCU
Molecule: non-coding RNA, 79 nt
Organism: Glycine max (soybean)
Lineage: Eukaryota; Viridiplantae; Streptophyta; Magnoliopsida; Fabales; Fabaceae
Source: Rfam